GACGAACGCUGGCGGCGUGCUUAACACAUGCAAGUCGAACGAAGAGCGAUGGAAGCUUGCUUCUAUCAAUCUUAGUGGCGAACGGGUGAGUAACGCGUAAUCAACCUGCCCUUCAGAGGGGGACAACAGUUGGAAACGACUGCUAAUACCGCAUACGAUCUAAUCUCGGCAUCGAGGAUAGAUGAAAGGUGGCCUCUACAUGUAAGCUAUCACUGAAGGAGGGGAUUGCGUCUGCUUAGCUAGUUGGAGGGGUAACGGCCCACCAAGGCGAUGAUCAGUAGCCGGUCGGAGAGGAUGAACGGCCACAUUGGGACUGAGACACGGCCCAGACUCCUACGGGAGGCAGCAGUGGGGAAUCUUCCGCAAUGGACGAAAGUCUGACGGAGCAACGCCGCGUGAGUGAUGACGGCCUUCGGGUUGUAAAGCUCUGUUAAUCGGGACGAAAGGCCUUCUUGCGAAUAGUGAGAAGGAUUGACGGUACCGGAAUAGAAAGCCACGGCUAACUACGUG
Molecule: ribosomal RNA, 510 nt
Filed under: uncultured bacterium
Lineage: Bacteria
Description: partial 16S ribosomal RNA
Rfam family: Bacterial small subunit ribosomal RNA
Source: RNAcentral